RNAcentral lists this ribosomal RNA (1558 nucleotides) under Staphylococcus aureus. Its description in RNAcentral is "16S ribosomal RNA". It matches the Rfam family "Bacterial small subunit ribosomal RNA". The record is from RNAcentral. Lineage: Bacteria; Bacillati; Bacillota; Bacilli; Caryophanales; Staphylococcaceae.
AUUUUAUGGAGAGUUUGAUCCUGGCUCAGGAUGAACGCUGGCGGCGUGCCUAAUACAUGCAAGUCGAGCGAACGGACGAGAAGCUUGCUUCUCUGAUGUUAGCGGCGGACGGGUGAGUAACACGUGGAUAACCUACCUAUAAGACUGGGAUAACUUCGGGAAACCGGAGCUAAUACCGGAUAAUAUUUUGAACCGCAUGGUUCAAAAGUGAAAGACGGUCUUGCUGUCACUUAUAGAUGGAUCCGCGCUGCAUUAGCUAGUUGGUAAGGUAACGGCUUACCAAGGCAACGAUGCAUAGCCGACCUGAGAGGGUGAUCGGCCACACUGGAACUGAGACACGGUCCAGACUCCUACGGGAGGCAGCAGUAGGGAAUCUUCCGCAAUGGGCGAAAGCCUGACGGAGCAACGCCGCGUGAGUGAUGAAGGUCCUCGGAUCGUAAAACUCUGUUAUUAGGGAAGAACAUAUGUGUAAGUAACUGUGCACAUCUUGACGGUACCUAAUCAGAAAGCCACGGCUAACUACGUGCCAGCAGCCGCGGUAAUACGUAGGUGGCAAGCGUUAUCCGGAAUUAUUGGGCGUAAAGCGCGCGUAGGCGGUUUUUUAAGUCUGAUGUGAAAGCCCACGGCUCAACCGUGGAGGGUCAUUGGAAACUGGAAAACUUGAGUGCAGAAGAGGAAAGUGGAAUUCCAUGUGUAGCGGUGAAAUGCGCAGAGAUAUGGAGGAACACCAGUGGCGAAGGCGACUUUCUGGUCUGUAACUGACGCUGAUGUGCGAAAGCGUGGGGAUCAAACAGGAUUAGAUACCCUGGUAGUCCACGCCGUAAACGAUGAGUGCUAAGUGUUAGGGGGUUUCCGCCCCUUAGUGCUGCAGCUAACGCAUUAAGCACUCCGCCUGGGGAGUACGACCGCAAGGUUGAAACUCAAAGGAAUUGACGGGGACCCGCACAAGCGGUGGAGCAUGUGGUUUAAUUCGAAGCAACGCGAAGAACCUUACCAAAUCUUGACAUCCUUUGACAACUCUAGAGAUAGAGCCUUCCCCUUCGGGGGACAAAGUGACAGGUGGUGCAUGGUUGUCGUCAGCUCGUGUCGUGAGAUGUUGGGUUAAGUCCCGCAACGAGCGCAACCCUUAAGCUUAGUUGCCAUCAUUAAGUUGGGCACUCUAAGUUGACUGCCGGUGACAAACCGGAGGAAGGUGGGGAUGACGUCAAAUCAUCAUGCCCCUUAUGAUUUGGGCUACACACGUGCUACAAUGGACAAUACAAAGGGCAGCGAAACCGCGAGGUCAAGCAAAUCCCAUAAAGUUGUUCUCAGUUCGGAUUGUAGUCUGCAACUCGACUACAUGAAGCUGGAAUCGCUAGUAAUCGUAGAUCAGCAUGCUACGGUGAAUACGUUCCCGGGUCUUGUACACACCGCCCGUCACACCACGAGAGUUUGUAACACCCGAAGCCGGUGGAGUAACCUUUUAGGAGCUAGCCGUCGAAGGUGGGACAAAUGAUUGGGGUGAAGUCGUAACAAGGUAGCCGUAUCGGAAGGUGCGGCUGGAUCACCUCCUUUCUAA